Molecule: long non-coding RNA, 1245 nt
Organism: Eriocheir sinensis (Chinese mitten crab)
Lineage: Eukaryota; Metazoa; Arthropoda; Malacostraca; Decapoda; Varunidae
Exons: 6
Source: RefSeq, a predicted model, not a curated record
CAGGAGGCAAGGCACCUAUACGUCCCCCGGGGCCCCGACGGAGGUGCCCGAGAUCUUCCGGCUACAAAGCCGAGCAGUGGGGUUCCAUAACCGUGGUAGGCAAUAUACCUAAGAGAGCAAACUCCGAACAACAAACCCGGGCAGGUGAGGCUCGUUAGCCGUGGUAGGCAAUUCACCUAGGAGAGCAAACUCCGAAUAACAAACCCGGGCAGGUGAGGCUCGUUAGCCGUGGUAGGCAAUCCACCUAGGAGAGCAAACUCCGAACAACAAACCCGGGCAGGUGAGGCUCGUUAGCCGUGGUAGGCAGUUCACCUAGGAGAGCAAACUCCGAACAACAAACCCGGGCAGGUGAGGCUCGUUAGCCGUGGUAGGCAGUUCACCUAGGAGAGCAAACUCCGAACAACAAACCCGGGCAGGUGGAGCUCGUUAGCCGUGGUAGGCAGUUCACCUAGGAGAGCAAACUCCGAACAACAAACCCGGGCAGGUGAGGCUCGUUAGCCGUGGUAGGCAGUUCACCUAGGAGAGCAAACUCCGAACAACAAACCCGGGCAGGUGAGGCUCGUUAGCCGUGGUAGGCAAUUCACCUAGGAGAGCAAACUCCGAACAACAUACCCGGGCAGGUGGAGGUCGUUAGCCGUGGUAGGCAGUUCACCUAGGAGAGCAAACUCUAAACAAACCCGGGCAGGUGAGGCUCGUUAGCCGUGGUAGGCAGUUCACCUAGGAGAGCAAACUCCGAACAACAAACCCGGGCAGGUGGAGCUCGUUAGCCGUGGUAGGCAGUUCACCUAGGAGAGCAAACUCUAAACAAACCCGGGCAGGUGGAGCUCGUUAGCCGUGGUAGGCAGUUCACCUAGGAGAGCAAACUCUAAACAAACCCGGGCAGGUGGAGCUCGUUAGAUGUCGUAGACAAUCCACGUGAUGGGAACACCAGAGAAAAUGAAAAUGAAAAAGAACAUCAGAAAAAGGGAAAUAUAGAAACGAAACAUCGAGAAAAGAAAAAGCAAACACACAUCAUCCACUUUUCGGCCCACACUAACAUCGACAAAAUUAUGGGUGAGUCUCUUCUGGGGAGAAAAAGGCUCAUCCAGACCAAAGAACAUCAACAAAAGGAUGAUAGAGAAAAGAACAUCUAGAAAAUAUGGAAAAGAAAAAAGAACAGAAAAAACAUCGAAAAAGAAAAGUAACAGCAAUAAAAGAACAACAUCAAGAAAAGAGAAGUACAAAGAAACAUCAUCCACCUUUCGG